This 440-nucleotide ribosomal RNA is filed under the name uncultured Acetivibrio sp. RNAcentral's name for it is "bacterial SSU rRNA". It matches the Rfam family "Bacterial small subunit ribosomal RNA", at positions 338 to 795 of the family's 1533-position model. Lineage: Bacteria; Bacillati; Bacillota; Clostridia; Acetivibrionales; Acetivibrionaceae. The record is from RNAcentral.
CCUACGGGUGGCUGCAGUGGGGAAUAUUGCGCAAUGGGGGAAACCCUGACGCAGCAACGCCGCGUGAAGGAUGAAGGUUUUCGGAUUGUAAACUUCUUUGAUGAGGGACGGUAAUGACGGUACCUCAAAAACAAGCCACGGCUAACUACGUGCCAGCAGCCGCGGUAAUACGUAGGUGGCAAGCGUUGUCCGGAUUUACUGGGUGUAAAGGGCGUGUAGGCGGGGAUGCAAGUCAGAUGUGAAAUUCCGGGGCUCAACCCCGGCGCUGCAUCUGAAACUGUAUCUCUUGAGUGCUGGAGAGGAAAGCGGAAUUCCUAGUGUAGCGGUGAAAUGCGUAGAUAUUAGGAGGAACACCAGUGGCGAAGGCGGCUUUCUGGACAGUAACUGACGCUGAGGCGCGAAAGCGUGGGGAGCGAACAGGAUUAGAUACCCUGGUAGUC